CAACCACAUCAUGUUGAAACACCGAUUCGCUUACAAUCACUGAAGUUAAGCAAUGUCAAGCUUGGUCAGUAUCUAGAUGGGGGACUGCUUGGGAAUACUAUGUGUUGUAAG
Acanthosepion pharaonis is the source of this 111-nucleotide non-coding RNA. The record is from the annotation of a GenBank genome assembly. NCBI's taxonomy places the organism in Eukaryota, Metazoa, Mollusca, Cephalopoda, Sepiida, Sepiidae.